UACGUAGGGCGCAAGCGUUAUCCGGAAUUAUUGGGCGUAAAGAGCUCGUAGGCGGUUUGUCGCGUCGAAUGUGAAAACCCGGGGCUCAACCCCGGGCCUGCAUUCGAUACGGGCAGACUAGAGUGCGGUAGGGGAGACUGGAAUUCCUGGUGUAGCGGUGAAAUGCGCAGAUAUCAGGAGGAACACCGGUGGCGAAGGCGGGUCUCUGGGCCGUAACUGACGCUGAGGCGCGAAAGCGUGGGGAGCGAACGGG
Molecule: ribosomal RNA, 253 nt
Filed under: uncultured bacterium
Lineage: Bacteria
Description: partial 16S ribosomal RNA
Rfam family: Bacterial small subunit ribosomal RNA
Source: RNAcentral